Molecule: ribosomal RNA, 253 nt
Filed under: uncultured bacterium
Lineage: Bacteria
Also listed under: 1 other name
Description: partial 16S ribosomal RNA
Rfam family: Bacterial small subunit ribosomal RNA
Source: RNAcentral
GACAGAGGGUGCAAACGUUGUUCGGAAUUACUGGGCGUAAAGCGCGUGUAGGCGGCUGCGCAAGUCGGGUGUGAAAGCCCUGGGCUCAACCCAGGAAGUGCACUCGAAACUGCGUAGCUGGAGUCUCGGAGAGGGAGGCGGAAUUCUGGGUGUAGAGGUGAAAUUCGUAGAUAUCCAGAGGAACACCGGUGGCGAAGGCGGCCUCCUGGACGAGAACUGACGCUGAGACGCGAAAGCGUGGGGAGCAAACAGG